UGCUUUUCGCAACGAGAUUGCUGCAAGGGGAAAACCAAUGAUACGAGAGCUGUUAAAAGUGUGCAUAAAGUGUGGCAAUUAAGUUUUUAGUCGAAGAGGCACAGGAAAAGCGAACUGCACGCGACGAGCGAACAAAGACGAAUGAGCAGGCAACCUAGACUGAGUCUCAAAAGAUACAUUACUACCUAUGUGUGUACCCAUCUGAAUCUCAAUCCCGGUGAAGCUCGACCAGCACCUGCCCACCUUCGAAGGCAGACCCGCGCGCGACAGGCAAAAUUGUUUACCAGGUGCUGGGUUUUCAGACCUCGUCUACCUAAGACAUCGCUCACUUUGUCAACUGAGUGCUGAUCGCAUUUAAAUCUGUUCAAGAAUAGCAUAACAACUAUAUAAACGGAGUGUUAACACCCUAAGUCAAAAAGUGAAUGCAAACCGAGACCGAGAGUGAUCACGCGAUCAGUUUGGCAAUGCGGCAGCGCUUUAUGGGGACUUAAUGAUAUAACAAAGUGAAUUGUUUUAUAAACUAUUUGGCGCGGCAUAAAUAAUUGCACGCCAUCAAACUAAAGCUUUAUGAGGCCCCCACACGACAUCGCCACUAAAUGAGUUGUAAACUCUCAAAUGCACUCAAGGUGUUGAAAAUUUAUUCCAAAAUAUAUAAAUUAUGUGAAGAACACUUGCUGCACUCGCAUCAUCUCUCUUUGGCAUUGACUCUAUGUCAAGUGCUCGGUGCGAGACUCAAAAGCAAUAAUAAAUCAUCGGCCCUGGCAACGGUUUGAGCGGUUUUCAACAAGGCUACAGCCGCAGCUGAGGCUAAAUAAAAGCAUCCAGACUUGAUGGCAAACCGCAAAUAAAUAUCAGGCAAAUAAAAUCAGCCAGAUCAUCUGGCAGCACUCAGCAAAAUAUGUAUGAAUUUUAGAUCUAAAAUAUAGUUAACGAAAAUAUUAAAGACAUUGCAAUUUAAAACAAAUAUUUGGCAAACUAAUCGAAAUCGAAUUGAAUAUUGAAUCUAAUCAACCAUUUUUAAUAAAUUAAUAAAUCUUGUAUCAUUUCAUCAAAUAAAUUAAAAUAUUAAAAGAAAUAACUGGUAGAUAU
Molecule: long non-coding RNA, 1089 nt
Organism: Drosophila elegans
Lineage: Eukaryota; Metazoa; Arthropoda; Insecta; Diptera; Drosophilidae
Exons: 5
Source: RefSeq, a predicted model, not a curated record